GAGGUUUGCCUACUGAAGCCCUUGGCUAGCGACUCUAAAUAAAUUGGCCAUAGUCGUCCCUCCGGGGGUUGGCGACGCCAUCAAUCUGUGUCUGGCAGUGCCUCUUUCGGGGUUUAUCACCAGCAGCUCGCUGCCCUGCGGCGUCCGAGUUCACAGAUCAAACGAUAGCGGCCACUGCCUGUGGUUGAGAUAUGAUCGGCCUCCAGCUCUCACUGAGCUGGCGAAAAUUUGCGGAACCUGCGGAAGGAUCAUUAUUGAGUUGGGGGGCCUAGCCCCCAACGGCGAGUGUCGUUCGAGUCCCUUCGGGUUCGGUCGGCGGUCGUCGUAUUUCUCAACCCCAUGUUUACUAUACCUUUGUUGCUUUGGCGGGCCUUGAGUAGGCUAUACGGCUCAUGCUGGCCCCAGGUUUCAUUGCCUGAGGACGGCUCGCGCCCGCCAGAGGUUUAAUCAAACCCUGUUUAUUAGUGACGUCUGAGCAAAUAUUAAAUAAUCAAAACUUUCAACAACGGAUCUCUUGGUUCUGGCAUCGAUGAAGAACGCAGCGAAAUGCGAUAAGUAAUGUGAAUUGCAGAAUUCAGUGAAUCAUCGAAUCUUUGAACGCACAUUGCGCCCCUCGGUAUUCCGGGGGGCAUGCCUGUUCGAGCGUCAUUACACCCCUCAAGCGUAGCUUGGUAUUGGACUUUCGCGGGCCCUCCGAGGAGAGGCUCGCGCGUCCGAAAAGCAGUGGCGGUCCUCGAGGACUUCGCGCGUAGUAAAUAUCAUCCCGCGUUGGAAAGAAUCGAUAGGUCUUGCCAAAAUCCCCCUUCUAUAACUUCCAUAAUUGACCUCGGAUCAGUAGGGAUACCC
Molecule: ribosomal RNA, 846 nt
Filed under: Cladonia verticillaris
Lineage: Eukaryota; Fungi; Ascomycota; Lecanoromycetes; Lecanorales; Cladoniaceae
Description: eukaryotic LSU rRNA
Rfam family: 5.8S ribosomal RNA (bases 495-648)
Source: RNAcentral